This is a long non-coding RNA of Bolinopsis microptera, 1208 nucleotides long. RefSeq lists it as uncharacterized. NCBI's taxonomy places the organism in Eukaryota, Metazoa, Ctenophora, Tentaculata, Lobata, Bolinopsidae. The transcript has 3 exons. The record is from RefSeq and is a predicted model, not a curated record.
AACUUUUGUUUUAUUAUUAAAUUUAUUUUAGAUCGUAGUGAUGACUUCUGUCUGUGGUAUGAAAAGAUGCACCGGAGAACUGUCCCCUUCUAUUGGCAAAAGACACUGUGAUUAUCAGCCAUGUCCAGAAUAUACCAAAGCUCAUCAGAUGGAGCCUCAGCCAGAUAAAACCAAUGGCACUAAACUAUGCACUCAAGUCAACUUGAACUAUAUAUGCGGGGAGUGAAAAGCUGUGGCUCCAGGAAAAAAACUGAGGGCUCGAAGUUGAGAUAUUGACUGAGUUUCAGUAGAGCACAAGUAUGUGGUAGAGAUACGGGAACCUACCCCUAGAUCAUCUGAUUUAGUGGACUGUAUUAUUGUAUCUUUAAUUUUAGACCUUAGUAAUUAUAUAUAGAUAUUUAGAUUUUGUGUUGGUUAAUUGUUUCAGGUAUCUCCGAGUACUUGACCAGAGUUCUGUCGAUUUGAAAGUGCAAUGAUGAUUGUUCUAUUUACUUUCAUGAUACAAAAUUCGAAAUUAGUACAAUUCGAAAUUUCACACAAAUUUAGUAUCGUUUAAGGAACUUUUAAAGUGUCUGUGAAAUUUCAAAGUAGAAAUUUUCUUACCUUUAGGUGCUGUCUCAGUUCUUCAUUAUAUGGACCGUUGAUCAAUGGAAUUGAUAAUCAAACGCAAUGCACAUAUGCACUUUUGUCAGAUAAUCGCAGUCUUAAAGGGGGCUCAAUAUUGAAGCCCAUAUCAUUAUGAUAAAAAUAUUUUUCGACUCUCUUUUAACGAUGUGAUAUUUCUGGUCAAUUGCUCGUGAAGUACUUUACAAUGCUCCUAGAAUAUAAAAUUAAGUACUUUUAAAAUAUGGUUUAGUUUGUGGGUAAGGGUGUCUCAAAAUACAUUUGUUAUCAAGUUCGGAAUUCAACUUUUGACUUUUGACCUUUGACUUAAUAUGCAAAAAUAUUUAACUUUCGUAUUUUGAGACCCUCUGCUGUAAUAUUAUUAUAAAAUACAUCAUACCCGAGAGCCAAACAGCUAAAGGUGUCAUCAAAUUUUGGAAAAUGAACAUAUGGUUAUACAACGAAUAGGAAACCCUGUAAACUAUAAAUGAAAUGGUUUGCAUUGAGCUUGUCAUUAAAAUCCCAGUUACUACUAUUAAUAUGACCAAACGACAUACAUUAUUCAGCUGGCGAAGAAUUUACUGAUUUAAAAAUCUCGAUUUAGU